Molecule: long non-coding RNA, 273 nt
Organism: Zingiber officinale
Lineage: Eukaryota; Viridiplantae; Streptophyta; Magnoliopsida; Zingiberales; Zingiberaceae
Exons: 3
Source: RefSeq, a predicted model, not a curated record
AUUCCAAGAACAGUAACAUCUACAAGGUUUCUUUGCCCUUGUCUAAAUACAACAGGCCUAAGCUUGUUGCUGGUUCAGCUAAAGGUUGGAGCGGUCAUGUUGAUGGCAAACCACGUGAAGCAAGGAUGAACCAUCCAACAGGGCUCACAGUCGAUAGCAAGGGUAGCGUGUAUUCUAAUGUUCAAGCUUCAGCAAGAUGAUUUCCCAGUGGAUACUCAUGUGUGCUCUUUUAACUAAUCUCAAAUUCUAGCAAAGUAUCAACUAAUAUAUGCA